Long non-coding RNA from Neofelis nebulosa (Clouded leopard), 2107 nucleotides. RefSeq lists it as uncharacterized. The transcript has 3 exons. The record is from RefSeq and is a predicted model, not a curated record. NCBI's taxonomy places the organism in Eukaryota, Metazoa, Chordata, Mammalia, Carnivora, Felidae.
CCCGCUUGGCUCCGGUGGCUUCCGUGUCAGAGUGAGGAGGACAGCAUGCAGGGUGAGGGGAGAGAUUGUGCCCCAUCCUCAGGGAUGGAUUAACCCCUUGAUAUCCAGGAUGUUGGCUGCUCAGACACAAGCCUUCUGUAUCCCUGAACAUUUUCAGGCAUCCUUGCCCAGAAAGAAAGAAUCCCGCAUCUUUCCACACGUGUCAAAGCAGGCUCCAUGCUACACCCGGAGAAGUGAGAAAGGGCUCUUCCCAGGCAACGCUACCAGUAAAAGUUUCUCUUGAAGAGUUAACUCAGGACGAAAAUGAAAAGAAGGCUCAACCCAUAGCGGCGCUGUAGAAGGAAACUGGUGCCGGGUAGGAAGGCAGGGCUGGGAAAAAACUCGAAGGCGCAUCAGCAGGGAGUCAGCCAUCCUCGGCACGGGCCAGACACCGAUUGGGAGCACCGGGGCACAGCGUAGCCUCUGCCGUGGAGGCUCGAGGCUCUGCCAAUGAUCGGGCAACGAGGACAAGGUCCCCAGGAGGAUAUCUCCCCCUCCCCAGGCAGCUGGACUCCCACCCUCACCGCUUCUGGAAGACCCAGAAUCUUGCAGAAGACCCCUGUGCACACACCUCUGAGAGAGCUUGGAGCACAAGUGAAACCAUUGGUACCCUUAACACCUCGCUGCCCCUGGAAUUCGGUCUCCCUGUGGGGCCAGCCUCAAAACAACCAUCCAGCCCCAUCUCUCUUGAUCAUUCCUCCACCUCUAGCUCAAGAUCUCUACUUCCCUGCCAUCUGAACUUUUGUCAGUGUCACCUAGACUCACUUCUAUUCCUCACUAAACCAGUCAGCACCCAGUGCCCAACCAUAUGGCUCCUACCACCUUCCAUCUCCUCCCUCCUCACCCCCAAAACCUUCCCCUGCCACAUCACCAGUGGCCUCCUAAGUGCCAAGGCCAGUGGGUACUUUCCAUUCCUUCCCUCUCGGCAGCUCUCCACAGCCUGUGACAUGGCCGACCAUGCCUUCCUCCAAACCCUGCCCUUCCAGGCCUGCACGACACCCUACUCUCAUUCUCCUCCUACCUCCCUGACUGUCCCUGUUCCAGGGACUCUUUCCCAAAGCUCCAGCCUGGACCUACUGCUUUUAGUACUAGUCUACACAAUCUUCCUGCUUAAUCUCAUCCCCUCAAAUAAUGAUUCAGUUAAACAAAAAAACAACCCUCAAGGCCAGACAUAGCUCCAUAUACUCAGCUGUCUUCAGGAUGUCUCCACCUGUCCCAAACUGGACUUUUCGUCUUCACCCCAGAUGCGUUCUUCCUGUCUGUUCUCCGACAAAACUGGCAGCACAAGCAUCUACCCGGUCUCCCCAGCUAUAAGCCAUAAGCUGUAAGAGGCAUCGUGGACUCCCUCCCUCUCAAAGUCCAGCCAGUCUCUAAGCCCUGUUCUAGUCUCCUAAAUUUUUUUUCAAAGCAUCCCCUCCUCUCCGUCUCUGCUCCCGCUCAGGCCCCUCAGGCCCCUCCUCUCUCGGCUGGAUUCAUGCAACAGCCUCCUAACUGGUCCCCUCCCUGUGGCCUAGCCCUCAGCUCCCCCAUCCACAAGGCCACAGUCGGUCUCCUGAGAAGGCAAGCAGGACCAGGUUCCUCCCUGAUAUCACCCUCCCCUCUGCCCCAGGAGAAAAUCCAAGUGCCCAACUGUGGCUUCCAAGUCUCUCCAGGAUCUGGUCUUCCUCUAAUCCACUGUCCACAGAGCUGUCAAACAGGUCAUCGCUAAAGGGCCCAGGGCGUCAAAUCCCCUCUCUUCACUUCUGCCUCUGAGCCUUGGCUCUAACCCUCCUCCCUGCCAGAGGCUCAUCCCUACCUCCUCCACACUGACAGUCACCGGGGUAACUCCUACUUCUCCCUCCCCAUGCAGCUCAGAGGUUGCCUCCCGAGGGAGCCUGCCAGCCCCUGACCUGGCUUGCUCCCCGCCCUCCCCACUUCUUUACCGUUUCUUCUAGAACUUGCAUUUGUCCUGCAUUUACCACCUCUCAGCUUACUCAGGAGUGCCCCCACUGCCCCCAGGAGCUGUGAGCUUCCUAAAAUGCUGCCUUUCCUUCCUGAGACCCCAGAGUCUAGCAUGGGGGCUGGCACC